RNAcentral lists this ribosomal RNA (468 nucleotides) under uncultured Oomycota. RNAcentral describes it as "LSU rRNA". The stretch from base 1 to 83 matches the Rfam family "Bacterial large subunit ribosomal RNA", at positions 476 to 559 of the family's 2925-position model. The record is from RNAcentral. Lineage: Eukaryota; Oomycota.
GUGCGAGACCGAUAGCGAACAAGUACCGUGAGGGAAAGAUGAAAAGAACUUUGAAAAGAGAGUUAAAGAGUACCUGAAACUGCUGAAAGGGAAGCGAAUCGUAUCCAGUGUCUAUAAUCUGCGGCAUAUUUCAUUGGCGGCGGAGCGCGUGCUUUUGCGUCGGAAGCGGCUUUUGUUGCUCUGUGCUUUUGCUGUGCGUGGUGUUGCUGGUGCCCUGUGUUGCGGUGGGACGUCAGAGUCAGUUUGUAUGCUGCGGGAAAUGGCUGCCGAGGAGGUAGGUCGAGAUUUCGGUCUUGGCUGUUAUAUCUUGGUGGUUUGUUGUCGUGGUUGAGACUGAGGUGCCUACAAUGUGCUUUUGAGUGCGCCGGGUUCUCAUUUGGUGGACUGUUUGGAUAGCUUGCUAUGCUUGUGGUUUUUUCAUCGGGUGAUUGAGUCUGGUGGUAACUUGUUGCUGUUCGGGACUUUGAA